AUUGAACGCUGGCGGCAGGCUUAACACAUGCAAGUCGAGCGGAGCGAGGGUGCUUGCACCUUAGCUUAGCGGCGGACGGGUGAGUAAUGCUUAGGAAUCUGCCUAUUAGUGGGGGACAACAUUCCGAAAGGGAUGCUAAUACCGCAUACGCCCUACGGGGGAAAGCAGGGGAUCACUUGUGACCUUGCGCUAAUAGAUGAGCCUAAGUCGGAUUAGCUAGUUGGUGGGGUAAAGGCCUACCAAGGCGACGAUCUGUAGCGGGUCUGAGAGGAUGAUCCGCCACACUGGGACUGAGACACGGCCCAGACUCCUACGGGAGGCAGCAGUGGGGAAUAUUGGACAAUGGGGGGAACCCUGAUCCAGCCAUGCCGCGUGUGUGAAGAAGGCCUUUUGGUUGUAAAGCACUUUAAGCGAGGAGGAGGCGCUCUAGGAUAAUACCCUAGAUG
This 446-nucleotide ribosomal RNA is filed under the name Acinetobacter sp. oral taxon C51. Its description in RNAcentral is "bacterial SSU rRNA". It matches the Rfam family "Bacterial small subunit ribosomal RNA", at positions 30 to 471 of the family's 1533-position model. The record is from RNAcentral. Lineage: Bacteria; Pseudomonadati; Pseudomonadota; Gammaproteobacteria; Moraxellales; Moraxellaceae.